CAGCCUGGCUCGUGGUUUCCCCUGGUGCCGGGGAGUGGAGGCGAGUUGUGCUUCCUGCUGGGAGAGAGAAGGGCCUUGGGAAGCUGCUCCAUGAGCCACAGCUGUGCCGAGCCCGGGAGUCUGUCCAGCAGGAUGUCGAGUGCCACCGUGUCCCUGAGGUUCCCCUUUCUGCUGUUGGGAGAGCGCGAGGUGGAUGGAGAGGAUCCCCAGGCAUCUGCAGGCAAAAGGGACUCGCACAACUGCGAUUUUCCUACAGCCCUCGUGAGAGGGACUUUGAGGGACGUGAAUGCAAGAACCUGCCAAGGAACCAAUGGCCAAGAUGAAUGAUGAGUGCAGGACCUGAGAGAACCCCCUUCAAUGACAACCUUAGGAUUAAAAGAUGGCUGUUGCUUUUGAAGGAGAAAAUCUGGAAAGCAGGAAGGAAGAAAAGAAGCCCCAUGACUCCUCCUGAGCCCCAGACAGCCCAUGAACUGCCUUGCUGGGAAUGGUAGGACAGGCUGGGCUCUGGAUUGCUCCCUCUGGAUAUGUGGUAAGACUGUUAUGCCAACUUCUCAAACAGCCUGUAAGCAUUUGCUGCCUUGGCUAGAUGGUGCAAGGGCAGCCUUUAAGCAGCUGAAGCAUUC
Molecule: long non-coding RNA, 623 nt
Organism: Pseudopipra pipra
Lineage: Eukaryota; Metazoa; Chordata; Aves; Passeriformes; Pipridae
Exons: 4
Source: RefSeq, a predicted model, not a curated record